Pygocentrus nattereri (red-bellied piranha) is the source of this 156-nucleotide small nuclear RNA. Its record names the gene U2. It matches the Rfam family "U2 spliceosomal RNA". From Rfam's summary of the family: U2 is a small nuclear RNA (snRNA) component of the spliceosome (involved in pre-mRNA splicing). The record is from Ensembl. NCBI's taxonomy places the organism in Eukaryota, Metazoa, Chordata, Actinopteri, Characiformes, Serrasalmidae.
UACACUUCUCGGCCUUUUGGCUAAGAUCAAGGGCAGUAUCUGUUCUUAUCAGUUUAAUAUCUGAUUUUUAGAACAGGGAGACGGAAGAGGGGCUUGCUCCGUCCGCUCCACGCAUCGACCUGGUAUUGCAGUACCUCCGAGAACGGUGCACCUCCU